GAACAACUCUCAGCAACGGAUAUCUUGGCUCUUGCAACGAUGAAGAACGCAGCGAAAUGCGAUACGUAGUGUGAAUUGCAGAAUUCCGCGAAUCAUCGAGUCUUUGAACGCAAGUUGCGCCCGAGGCUUGUCCGAGGGCAUUUCCGCUAGAGCGUCAC
RNAcentral lists this ribosomal RNA (158 nucleotides) under Philonotis laii. RNAcentral describes it as "5.8S ribosomal RNA". It matches the Rfam family "5.8S ribosomal RNA". Rfam says of the family: 5.8S ribosomal RNA (5.8S rRNA) is a component of the large subunit of the eukaryotic ribosome. It is transcribed by RNA polymerase I as part of the 45S precursor that also contains 18S and 28S rRNA. The record is from RNAcentral. RNAcentral also lists the same sequence under 1 other name. Lineage: Eukaryota; Viridiplantae; Streptophyta; Bryopsida; Bartramiales; Bartramiaceae.